RNAcentral lists this ribosomal RNA (388 nucleotides) under uncultured bacterium. RNAcentral describes it as "bacterial SSU rRNA". It matches the Rfam family "Bacterial small subunit ribosomal RNA", at positions 28 to 417 of the family's 1533-position model. The record is from RNAcentral.
GACGAACGCUGGCGGCGUGCCUAACACAUGCAAGUCGAGCGGUAAGGCCCUUUCGGGGGUACACGAGCGGCGAACGGGUGAGUAACACGUGGGUGACCUGCCCUCAGCUCUGGGAUAAGCCUGGGAAACUGGGUCUAAUACUGGAUAUGACUCCACGGUGCAUGUCGUGGGGUGGAAAGCCUUGUGCGGCCGAGGAUGGGCCCGCGGCCUAUCAGCUUGUUGGUGGGGUGANGGCCUACCAAGGCGACGACGGGUAGCCGGCCUGAGAGGGCGACCGGCCACACUGGGACUGAGACACGGCCCAGACUCCUACGGGAGGCAGCAGUGGGGAAUCUUGCGCAAUGGGCGAAAGCCUGACGCAGCGACGCCGCGUGAGGGAUGACGGCCU